AUUGACGUUAGUCACAGAAGAAGCACCGGCUAACUCCGUGCCAGCAGCCGCGGUAAUACGGAGGGUGCGAGCGUUAAUCGGAAUGACUGGGCGUAAAGGGCACGCAGGCGGUGACUUAAGUGAGAUGUGAAAGCCCCGAGCUUAACUUGGGAAUUGCAUUUCAUACUGGGUUGCUAGAGUAUUUUAGGGAGGGGUAGAAUUCCACGUGUAGCGGUGAAAUGCGUAGAGAUGUGGAGGAAUACCGAAGGCGAAGGCAGCCCCUUGGGAAAAUACUGACGCUCAUGUGCGAAAGCGUGGGGAGCAAACAGGAUUAGAUACCCUGGUAGUCCACGCUGUAAACGCUGUCGAUUUGGGGAUUGGGCUUAGAGCUUGGUGCCCGUAGCUAACGUGAUAAAUCGACCGCCUGGGGAGUACGGCCGCAAGGUUAAAACUCAAAUGAAUUGACGGGGGCCCGCACAAGCGGUGGAGCAUGUGGUUUAAUUCGAUGCAACGCGAAGAACCUUACCUACUCUUGACAUCCUAAGAAGAACUCAGAGAUGAGUUUGUGCCUUCGGGAACUUAGAGACAGGUGCUGCAUGGCUGUCGUCAGCUCGUGUUGUGAAAUGUUGGGUUAAGUCCCGCAACGAGCGCAACCCUUAUCCUUUGUUGCCAGCGAUUCGGUCGGGAACUCAAAGGAGACUGCCAGUGAUAAACUGGAGGAAGGUGGGGAUGACGUCAAGUCAUCAUGGCC
This 730-nucleotide ribosomal RNA is filed under the name uncultured Haemophilus sp. RNAcentral's name for it is "bacterial SSU rRNA". It matches the Rfam family "Bacterial small subunit ribosomal RNA", at positions 468 to 1200 of the family's 1533-position model. Lineage: Bacteria; Pseudomonadati; Pseudomonadota; Gammaproteobacteria; Pasteurellales; Pasteurellaceae. The record is from RNAcentral.